GACGAACGCUGGCGGCGUGCUUAACACAUGCAAGUCGAACGGAAAGGCCCUGCUUUUGUUGGGUUCUCGAUUGGCGAACGGGUGAGUAACACGUGAGUAACCUGCCCUUGACUUUGGGAUAACUUCAGGAAACUGGGGCUAAUACCGGAUAGGAGCUCCUGCUGCAUGGUGGGGGUUGGAAAGUUUCGGCGGUUGGGGAUGUACUCGCGGCUUAUCAGCUUGUUGGUGGGGUAGUGGCUUACCAAGGCUUUGACGGGUAGCCGGCCUGGGAGGGUGAACGGGGACAUUGGGCCUAAGAGACGGACCAGAAGCGUACGGGAGGCAGUAGGGGGGAAUAUUGCAGAAUGGGGGGGAGCGUGAGGCAGAAACGCCGCGUGCGGGAUGACGGCUUUCGGGUUGUAAACAGAUUUCGACUGAGACGAAGCGUGAGUGACGGUAAUGGGUAAAGAAGCAACGGCUAACUACGUG
Molecule: ribosomal RNA, 468 nt
Filed under: uncultured bacterium
Lineage: Bacteria
Description: partial 16S ribosomal RNA
Rfam family: Bacterial small subunit ribosomal RNA
Source: RNAcentral